Molecule: ribosomal RNA, 253 nt
Filed under: uncultured bacterium
Lineage: Bacteria
Description: partial 16S ribosomal RNA
Rfam family: Bacterial small subunit ribosomal RNA
Source: RNAcentral
UACAGGGGGUGCAAACGUUGCUCGGAAUUAUUGGGCGUAAAGCGCGCGUAGGCGGCCACUUAAGUCGGAUGUGAAAGCCCCUGGCUCAACUGGGGAAGUGCACCCGAAACUGAAUGGCUUGAAUGCAAAAGAGGGUCGCGGAAUUCCCGGUGUAGAGGUGAAAUUCGUAGAUAUUCGGAGGAACACCAGUGGCGAAGGCGGCUCACUGGUCCAUUACUGACGCUGAGGUGCGAAAGCGUGGGGAGCAAACAGG